This 653-nucleotide ribosomal RNA is filed under the name uncultured bacterium. RNAcentral describes it as "bacterial SSU rRNA". It matches the Rfam family "Bacterial small subunit ribosomal RNA", at positions 837 to 1497 of the family's 1533-position model. The record is from RNAcentral.
ACUGUCGUAACGAAGUUAACACAUUAAGCACCCGCCUGGGAGUACGGCCGCAGGCUAAACUCAAAGGAAUUGACGGGGCCCGCACAAGCGGCGAGCAUGCGGAUUAAUUCGAUGCAACGCGAAGAACCUUACCAAGGCUUGACAUGUAGAGGAAAAGUGCAGAGAUGCACUCCCCGCAAGGUCUCUACACAGGUGGUGCAUGGUUGUCGUCAGCUCGUGUCGUGAGAUGUUGGGUUAAGUCCCGCAACGAGCGCAACCCUCGUCCUAUGUUGCCAGCACGUUAUGGUGGGAACUCAUGGGAUACUGCCGGGGUCAACUCGGAGGAAGGUGGGGAUGACGUCAAAUCAUCAUGCCCCUUAUGUCUUGGGCUUCACGCAUGCUACAAUGGCCAGUACAGAGGGCUGCAAUACCGUAAGGUGGAGCGAAUCCCAAAAAGCUGGUCUCAGUUCGGAUUGAGGUCUGCAACUCGACCUCAUGAAGUCGGAGUCGCUAGUAAUCGUAGAUCAGCAACGCUACGGUGAAUACGUUCCCGGGCCUUGUACACACCGCCCGUCAAGUCACGAAAGUCGGUAACACCCGAAGCCGGUGGCCUAACCGCAAGGAGGGAGCCGUCGAAGGUGGGAUUGGUGAUUGGGACUAAGUCGUAACAAGGU